AGUCAACAGGCCAACUAAAAGCAUACAAAAUACUGUAAUUUCAAAUAACACUUUUAGACAAAAAUGCGUUCUUGCCUACUCCCUAACUUAUUCUAACUUUGUGUCCAUUUUAAUAUUCCAGAAUGGCCAUGAAACAACGUAUUUAAACCAUCAUUAAUCCAGCUGUGUCUGGUUCUUAAAAAAGAGCAGGCCAGGGUGGUCAACUGAGCACUUCAAAACAAUGUUAAUGUUGAUUUUUCACACCGUGGAGGUCGGCGAGAUAAGUUAAAUCUUAGCCUGUGGUGGCGUAAAAAAGGGCAACACGUUUAAUAUUUAGUGCACGUCGGCUUAAACAACUCCCAAAUCCAUCUUGUUAAAGUGUCAAUGGUAUAGACGAGGCUCUCUGCUUGCCUCCUCGGACCUCCCUGAGCAGCUGAAGAGACGCAGCGGGGCUAUUCACCGCGGAGGGGGAGGGUCGUCGAGGUAAAUUCAUAGCCUGUGGUGGUGUAAAAAAGGGCAAAAAUUUGGUAUAUGGUAUAUUUGGUGCAUUUUGGCAUAAAUUGAUAUUAACUCGUAAAUCCAUCUUGGUAAAAUGUCAAUGGUGAGCAAAGUAACAAAAGCAAGAGAGGCCUUUCCUGUGCGACAAAUAAAAAUAAAAAGUUAAGAAAAAGACUUUUUAAAUUAAACUCAUCGCCAUGUUACAGGGGGAAACACUGAUUACGCUGAGCCUUUGGAGGGAGAGAAGCUGCCGUCAGUGAUGUUCUCCAAGUGGGGACACAUCAGAGUGUCCCAUCUUAGAACCACCAGUCCCAAUAGGGAAGCGCAGGCACAGUCCCCCAACCUCUCACUUGCACCCACUCACUCCACACUUCAUAAUAAACGGGGAUGGACAGGGACGUCUGAUGUGUUUCCGUGUGUUAUUUAUUAUAUAAACCACAAAAGUCUCUAAUAAAACCAGAAAAGGUCCCACGGAUGUGUCGCUUGUGCCAAAAAGUCGCCAUGAGGGUUUUGAAAGUCAAUUUACCUAUAUAGUCAAUUAAGUCUACUACUCUGGAUAUUGCUUUAUGUUCAUACUGUACGCGUAAAACAGGGUUCAUGUUUUUAUCUGGCGUUUGAAAGCACCAUUUCUGACUGCCCCUGAACGCAACAUCGCAGCUCCGCUAAUUUGUCCUGAAGUCUUCUCUGACAACAGAACAUCAUAUUCUCUGUGGUUGACCAUCACUGCUAGUGACUUAUUGCUGACUCUGAGAAGUGACCUGUUUCCUCCCAGGACGUCUUGGUGACUCCUUGGUGUUUUGACAGUGCCUUGCUGGCCAGCGUCUCUCCUCUAUCAUAUUGGCACUCUGUCUAUCCUAUACCUUCUAUCCACUCUGUCUCAAUAUUGGAACCUCUAUCUAUCCUGUCACAUCUA
This is a long non-coding RNA of Pungitius pungitius (ninespine stickleback), 1390 nucleotides long. RefSeq lists it as uncharacterized. The record is from RefSeq and is a predicted model, not a curated record. NCBI's taxonomy places the organism in Eukaryota, Metazoa, Chordata, Actinopteri, Perciformes, Gasterosteidae. The transcript has 5 exons.